RNAcentral lists this long non-coding RNA (398 nucleotides) under Marmota monax (woodchuck). Lineage: Eukaryota; Metazoa; Chordata; Mammalia; Rodentia; Sciuridae. The record is from RNAcentral.
AGGCUAGGAAUAUGGCACAGUGGUUAAGCCACCGUGGGUUCGAUACCCUGUACAAAAAAAACCAAAAAACAAAUUCAUUUCAAGUGUACAGAACACCUAGUACUACCAAUUACAGAACAUUUUUUUGACACAUUUCUAAGGCUAAGGAUAUUUCAUGUGGUAUAUUUAUUUAAUGCCCUAUUGUAAUUGCAUGUAAGAAAAUAAACAAGUCCCAAAUGGCUUAUUUAUAUCAGUAUAAUAAGUCAGGUUGAAUUUUCAGACAAGUGAGCAAUAAGGCAAUGCUACUCAUUGAUUUAGAAUAUAUAUUAUAAAGAUUUAUAGAUUAACUUAUCUUUACCGUUCAUUGCUUUGAAGAAUGUUGACCUAUCGGCACUUCCUUAAAUUUUGAUUUUAUUUAU